GGGGUAGUGGUGGAAUGGUAGACACGUCAGUUUUAGGCACUGAUGCCUUCGGGUGUGAGAGUUCGAGUCUCUCCUACCCUA
RNAcentral lists this transfer RNA (81 nucleotides) under Caudoviricetes sp. RNAcentral describes it as "tRNA-Leu". It matches the Rfam family "tRNA". From Rfam's summary of the family: Transfer RNA (tRNA) molecules are approximately 80 nucleotides in length. Lineage: Duplodnaviria; Heunggongvirae; Uroviricota; Caudoviricetes. The record is from RNAcentral.